RNAcentral lists this long non-coding RNA (793 nucleotides) under Oryza sativa (Asian cultivated rice). RNAcentral describes it as "long non-coding RNA (OSAT_LNC000710)". The record is from RNAcentral. Lineage: Eukaryota; Viridiplantae; Streptophyta; Magnoliopsida; Poales; Poaceae.
CGGUCGUCCGAGUCCGACGAAGGUAACUCUUCCCUAGUUCCCUUCAUCCCCUGUCCUGCGCCCUUGCUACCCGUAGAUGUCAUGUCUGAUGUUGCUCCUGCUAGGUAUGAGGCCAUGCUCUGGUUCAUUUUUACCAUGCUCUCAGUAAGCGCCGCCGCCUCUUCUCCUCCCCCCGUUAGAUGACCACGCCAUUAGAGGAUUGAUGAAGUAUUGGGUUUAGCAGUGAAUUUUGGUUUCUUGACAUAGAGAUAAAAUCAGAUUUUAGAUUUAGCCAUGGACUCGGAAAUUAUUAUCUGAACCCUAGCACAGAUUUAAUUUAUCAUGAAGCAUAAGAACUAUAACAACUCUGUCAAUUAGGCUAGAUCAAUUAUAGUUCAUAUAGUAGUCCGUGAGUAGCAUAUUUUUAAUAAAGAGAUCAAUUUGAAUAAUUAGGGAGUCUAUGAACAGAAACAUAGACCUUUAUAAUUAUAGCAUGCAUGCAGUUAUGUGCGGGCAUUUCUCAUUAACUCUUUCUUAGACUCAUUACUGGGAUUUUGUACAUGGCAGUUAAGGAGAAACAAUAUGAAACGUAUGGAAUAGUUAAUUUGAGUGUGCUUGAUUUCCUUCGGCCAUUGUUCUUACUGAAAGCAAUAUUUUCUUAAUUUGAGUGUGUUUGAUGCGAGGACGGGAGCUGCGCGACGUGGUGGGCGGGAGCGGCGGGCUCGGCACCGGCGGCGGCGGCCUCCCUUCCCCGACCUCCCAUGCGUGGCGGCGGCAUCCCUUCCCCGACGGCGGCGGGCACGGCGACGACGAC